GCCUGUGGGCACAGUACCCGCUCCCCUCUGCAGGUGGUUCCCCCAGGAACUUAGGCAGAGUGGGAACACGCAGAAGACUUGGGAAAGAAAGCCGUCACGUCUCCUCCCACUUUCUUAACAGGUUUUCUAAAUCUUCAGACUAUCGCUAUGGAGAGCAGAGCAAGCAGCUGUGCCAGCCAAGAGAUGCUGAGGGAUCCUUCUGAGUGCUCAGCAACUUUUGGAUCCUCAUACAGAUGCUGAUAGUAAGUGUGAACUCAAACAUACACACACGGCAUGUGUGUGCACAUACAGGAACUACACAUGCAUGGACAUUAUGCA
This 318-nucleotide long non-coding RNA is filed under the name Chinchilla lanigera (long-tailed chinchilla). Its description in RNAcentral is "lncRNA (ENSCLAG00000025499.1)". The record is from RNAcentral. Lineage: Eukaryota; Metazoa; Chordata; Mammalia; Rodentia; Chinchillidae.